RNAcentral lists this ribosomal RNA (501 nucleotides) under uncultured bacterium. Its description in RNAcentral is "partial 16S ribosomal RNA". It matches the Rfam family "Bacterial small subunit ribosomal RNA", at positions 30 to 523 of the family's 1533-position model. The record is from RNAcentral.
AUUGAACGCUGGCGGCAGGCUUAACACAUGCAAGUCGAGCGGGGGAAGGUAGCUUGCUACCGGACCUAGAGGCGGACGGGUGAGUAAUGCUUAGGAAUCUGCCUAUUAGUGGGGGACAACAUCUAGAAAGGGAUGCUAAUACCGCAUACGUCCUACGGGAGAAAGCAGGGGAUCUUCGGACAUUGCGCUAAUAGAUGAGCCUAAGUCGGAUUAGCUAGUUGGUGGGGUAAAGGCCUACCAAGGCGACGAUCUGUAGCGGGUCUGAGAGGAUGAUCCGCCACACUGGGACUGAGACACGGCCCAGACUCCUACGGGAGGCAGCAGUGGGGAAUAUUGGACAAUGGGGGGAACCCUGAUCCAGCCAUGCCGCGUGUGUGAAGAAGGCCUUAUGGUUGUAAAGCACUUUAAGCGAGGAGGAGGCUACUCUAGUUAAUACCUAGGGAUAGUGGACGUUACUCGCGGAAUAAGCACCGGCUAACUCUGUGCCAGCCGCCGCCGUAA